AGGUAAGCUACUAAGAGCGAAUGGUGGAUGCCUUGACUGGUAGAGGCGAUGAAGGACGUACUAGACUGCGAUAAGCUAGGUGGAGCUGUCAAGAAGCUUUGAUGCCUAGAUUUCCGAAUGGGGCAACCCAGUAUAUAGAGAUAUAUACUACCAUAAUGGAGCGAACGAGGGGAAUUGAAACAUCUUAGUACCCUCAGGAAAAGAAAUCAAACGAGAUUGCGUCAGUAGCGGCGAGCGAAAGCGUAAGAGGGCAAACCCAGUGCUUGCACUGGGGGUUGUAGGACUGCAAUGUGCAAGAGGAAAGGUUAGCAGAACACUCUGGAAAGUGUAGCCAUAGAGGGUGAUAGUCCCGUAUGCAAAAACCUAACCUUAGCUAGCAGUAUCCUGAGUAGGGCGGGACACGAGAAAUCCUGUCUGAAGCUGGGUAGACCACUAUCCAACCCUAAAUACUACUACCAGAUCGAUAGCGAACAAGUACCGUGAGGGAAAGGUGAAAAGAACGGCGGUGAGCCGAGUGAAAUAGAACCUGAAACCAUUUGCUUACAAUCAUUCAGAGCACUAUGUAGCAAUACAGUGUGAUGGACUGCCUUUUGCAUAAUGAGCCUGCGAGUUGUGGUGUCUGGCAAGGUUAAGCUAACGCGAAGCCGUAGCGAAAGCGAGUCUGAAUAGGGCGCUAAGUCAGAUGCUGCAGACCCGAAACGAAGUGAUCUAUCCAUGAGCAGGUUGAAGCUAGUGUAAGAACUAGUGGAGGACCGAACCCGCUAGCGUUGAAAAGCUAUGGGAUGACUUGUGGAUAGGGGUGAAAGGCCAAUCAAACUUCGUGAUAGCUGGUUCUCUCCGAAAUAUAUUUAGGUAUAGCGUUGUGUCGUAACUAAAGGGGGUAGAGCACUGAAUGGGCUAGGGCAUACACCAAUGUACCAAACCCUAUCAAACUCCGAAUACCUUUAGUGUAAUCACAGCAGUCAGGCGGCGAGUGAUAAAAUCCGUCGUCAAGAGGGAAACAACCCAGACUAACAGCUAAGGUCCCCAAAUCUUACUUAAGUGGAAAACGAUGUGAAGUUACUUAAACAACCAGGAGGUUGGCUUAGAAGCAGCCAUCCUUUAAAGAAAGCGUAAUAGCUCACUGGUCUAGUGAUUUUGCGCGGAAAAUAUAACGGGGCUAAAGUAAGUACCGAAGCUUUAGACUUGCAUACAACUUAGAUGAUUUAAAUUUAGAAUAUGAGAAGCUAAAUUUAUUUUUAUUUAUUUUUGCUUAUCUUUAUUCAUUUUUAUAGAGUAAAGAUAAAAACAAAAACUUCGUAAAAAUAAUAAAAUUUAGUAAAAAACAAUAAAAAUAUUCUUAGAUUAAAAGUUAAGUCGUUUAAGUUGUGUGCAAGUGGUAGGAGAGCGUUCUAUUUGCGUCGAAGGUAUACCGACAAGGAGUGCUGGAGCGAAUAGAAGUGAGCAUGCAGGCAUGAGUAGCGAUAAUUAAUGUGAGAAUCAUUAACGCCGUAAACCCAAGGUUUCCUACGCGAUGCUCGUCAUCGUAGGGUUAGUCGGGUCCUAAGUCGAGUCCGAAAGGGGUAGACGAUGGCAAAUUGGUUAAUAUUCCAAUACCAACAUUAGUGUGCGAUGGAAGGACGCUUAGGGCUAAGGGGGCUAGCGGAUGGAAGUGCUAGUCUAAGGUCGUAGGAGGUUAUACAGGCAAAUCCGUAUAACAAUACUCCGAGAACUGAAAGGCUUUUUGAAGUCUUCGGAUGGAUAGAAGAACCCCUGAUGCCGUCGAGCCAAGAAAAGUUUCUAAGUUUAGCUAAUGUUGCCCGUACCGUAAACCGACACAGGUGGGUGGGAUGAGUAUUCUAAGGCGCGUGGAAGAACUCUCUUUAAGGAACUCUGCAAAAUAGCACCGUAUCUUCGGUAUAAGGUGUGCCUCCCUUUGUACUAGAAUUCACUUCGAAAGCAAAGAAGGUUACAACAAAGAGUCCCUCCCGACUGUUUACCAAAAACACAGCACUCUGCUAACUCGUAAGAGGAUGUAUAGGGUGUGACGCCUGCCCGGUGCUCGAAGGUUAAUUGAUGGGGUUAGCAUUAGCGAAGCUCUUGAUCGAAGCCCGAGUAAACGGCGGCCGUAACUAUAACGGUCCUAAGGUAGCGAAAUUCCUUGUCGGUUAAAUACCGACC
Molecule: ribosomal RNA, 2160 nt
Filed under: Campylobacter upsaliensis
Lineage: Bacteria; Pseudomonadati; Campylobacterota; Epsilonproteobacteria; Campylobacterales; Campylobacteraceae
Description: partial 23S ribosomal RNA
Rfam family: Bacterial large subunit ribosomal RNA
Source: RNAcentral